UACGUAGGGACCGAGCGUUGUCCGGAUUCAUUGGGCGUAAAGAGCUCGUAGGCGGCUGCUCAAGUCGAAUGUGAAAACUCGAGGCUCAACCUCGAGCCUGCAUUCGAUACUGGGCGGCUAGAGUCUGGUAGGGGAGUCUGGAAUUCCUGGUGUAGCGGUGAAAUGCGCAGAUAUCAGGAGGAACACCGGUGGCGAAGGCGGGUCUCUGGGCCGAUACUGACGCUGAGGAGCGAAAGCGUGGGGAGCGAACAGG
RNAcentral lists this ribosomal RNA (253 nucleotides) under uncultured bacterium. RNAcentral's name for it is "partial 16S ribosomal RNA". It matches the Rfam family "Bacterial small subunit ribosomal RNA", at positions 524 to 776 of the family's 1533-position model. The record is from RNAcentral.